Molecule: ribosomal RNA, 253 nt
Filed under: uncultured bacterium
Lineage: Bacteria
Description: partial 16S ribosomal RNA
Rfam family: Bacterial small subunit ribosomal RNA
Source: RNAcentral
UACGUAGGGCGCAAGCGUUGUCCGGAAUUAUUGGGCGUAAAGAGCUCGUAGGCGGUUUGUCACGUCGGGUGUGAAAGCCCGGGGCUUAACCCCGGGUCUGCAUUCGAUACGGGCUAGCUAGAGUGUGGUAGGGGAGAUCGGAAUUCCUGGUGUAGCGGUGAAAUGCGCAGAUAUCAGGAGGAACACCGGUGGCGAAGGCGGAUCUCUGGGCCAUUACUGACGCUGAGGAGCGAAAGCGUGGGGAGCGAACAGG